CGCAUCUGUGCAUGCAGCAUAUCAAUAAGCGGAGGAAAAGAAACUAACAAGGAUUCCCUUAGUAACGGCGAGUGAAGCGGGAAGAGCUCAAAUUUGAAAUCUUCAAGGCUUUACCUUGACGAAUUGUAGUUUAAAGAAGUGUUUCCUGUUGAAGUUUUGGUAAAAGUUCUUUGGAAUAGGACAUCAUAGAGGGUGAGAAUCCCGUAUUUGACCAUUAUUUUCAGCUGUGUGAUACACUUUCAAAGAGUCGGAUUGUUUGGGAAUGCAGUCCAAAAUGGGUGGUAAAUUUCAUCUAAAGCUAAAUAUUGGCGAGAGACCGAUAGCGAACAAGUACCGUGAGGGAAAGAUGAAAAGAACUUUGAAAAGAGAGUUAAACAGUACGUGAAAUUGUCAAAAGGGAAGCGUUUGACACCAGUGUUGUUUUCUCGAAAAUCAAUUAAAAAGAGUUAGAUUUUGUUGUGUAUUGACCUUAACAGCUUGCAUUUCAAUUUUCUUGCUUUUUUUAAUGCACUUUUCGUUUAACAAGUCAACAUCAGUUUCUUUUGUUGUAAAAAGGUCAUUGGAAGGUGGCUUUCUUUUCGGAGAAAGUGUUUAUAGCCUUUGACUCCUGCAAUCGGAGAGACUGAGGUCUGCAGCGUAGAUCCUUCGGGGUUAGAUACAUUUGUGCUAAGUUAUAGCUUUUUAUAGACAACUUGUUGACUAUGAUUAGUCUUGUAGCUUACUCGCUUAUGCUAUUUUACCUACGCUUAGGAUGUUGACGCGCGUGUGUGCGUG
Molecule: ribosomal RNA, 774 nt
Filed under: uncultured Neocallimastigales
Lineage: Eukaryota; Fungi; Neocallimastigomycota; Neocallimastigomycetes; Neocallimastigales
Description: partial large subunit ribosomal RNA
Rfam family: Eukaryotic large subunit ribosomal RNA
Source: RNAcentral